GACGAACGCUGGCGGCGUGCUUAACACAUGCAAGUCGAACGGAAAGGCCCUGCUUUUGUGGGGUGCUCGAGUGGCGAACGGGUGAGUAACACGUGAGUAACCUGCCCUUGACUUUGGGAUAACUUCAGGAAACUGGGGCUAAUACCGGAUAGGAUCUCCUGCUGCAUGGUGGGGGUUGGAAAGUUUCGGCGGUUGGGGAUGGACUCGCGGCUUAUCAGCUUGUUGGUGGGGUAGUGGCUUACCAAGGCUUUGACGGGUAGCCGGCCUGAGAGGGUGACCGGCCACAUUGGGCCUGCGAUACGGCCCAGACUCCUACGGGAGGCAGCAGUGGGAAAUAUUGCACAAUGGGCGGAAGCCUGAGGCAGCAACGCCGCGUGCGGGAUGACGGCCUUCGGGUUGUAAACCGCUUUCGCCUGUGACGAAGCGUGAGUGACGGUAAUGGGUAAAGAAGCACCGGCUAACUACGUG
This 468-nucleotide ribosomal RNA is filed under the name uncultured bacterium. Its description in RNAcentral is "partial 16S ribosomal RNA". It matches the Rfam family "Bacterial small subunit ribosomal RNA", at positions 28 to 507 of the family's 1533-position model. The record is from RNAcentral.